AUGGACCCCAGCCUUAUCUACUGGAUGGCCAUUUUCAUCCUGGGGGCAGGCCCUGUGGAUUCCGAUUCCAGAGUCACCCAGAGCCCGGGUCACCUGAUCAAACAACGAGGACAGCUGGUGACACUGAGCUGCUCCCCCAUCUCUGGGCACCUCUCUGUGUCCUGGUACCAGCAGACGCGGGGCCAGGGUCCCCAGUUCCUCGUUCAGUAUUAUAACGGUGAAGAGAGAGAGAAAGGUGACACCCGGGAUGGGUUCUCAGGCCAGCAGUUCCCCAACCACAGCUCCAAGGUGAACCUGAGCGCCCUGGACUCAGCCGUGUUCCUCUGUGCCAGCAGCUUGUCACAGCCCUGCAGCGCCACCACCACCCUGUGCACAAACCUCCCUGCUGGGCCCGCACCCACCUCAGAGCCACCUGAGCACCUGGGGUUGCAGCAGGAAAGGGGGUCACAGCCCUGGAAGUGCAGCCUGGGGCUUUGCUUCUGUGCAAGAGACAGGGACCACAGGGACAUGGGGUCUGUUCUCAGGACCCCACAGCCCCAGGCUCUCCCCAAGUCCCCAUUUGCCUGGCCUUGCGGGCACAAGGGUAGGGGGAAAGGUUGA
Molecule: non-coding RNA, 600 nt
Organism: Orycteropus afer afer
Lineage: Eukaryota; Metazoa; Chordata; Mammalia; Tubulidentata; Orycteropodidae
Source: the annotation of a RefSeq genome assembly